Drosophila guanche is the source of this 144-nucleotide small nuclear RNA. RefSeq annotates it as U11 spliceosomal RNA. NCBI's taxonomy places the organism in Eukaryota, Metazoa, Arthropoda, Insecta, Diptera, Drosophilidae. The transcript has a single exon. The record is from RefSeq and is a predicted model, not a curated record.
GAAACUGUUCGAUUAGCAAACCGAGUCGCACUGCGCCUUUUGGAUGGAUCAAUCCCUAUGUGCCCAGUGGGGUAUGGCUUUGCAUAUCCGAGUCUCAAUUUUUGUAUGUAUUUGUGUAUAUUUUAUAUGUAUAUAUAUAUAAUU